Molecule: ribosomal RNA, 202 nt
Filed under: uncultured bacterium
Lineage: Bacteria
Description: partial 16S ribosomal RNA
Rfam family: Bacterial small subunit ribosomal RNA
Source: RNAcentral
AGGCGGUCUUAUAAGUCAGUGGUGAAAGCCUACAGCUCAACUGUAGAACUGCCAUUGAUACUGUAGGACUUGAAUUCGAUCGAAGCGGGCGGAAUAUGACAUGUAGCGGUGAAAUGCUUAGAUAUGUCAUAGAACACCGAUAGCGAAGGCAGCUCACUAGGUCUGGAUUGACGCUCAGGGACGAAAGCGUGGGGAGCAAACA